Molecule: transfer RNA, 86 nt
Filed under: Rhizoctonia solani AG-1 IB
Lineage: Eukaryota; Fungi; Basidiomycota; Agaricomycetes; Cantharellales; Ceratobasidiaceae
Rfam family: tRNA
About the family: Transfer RNA (tRNA) molecules are approximately 80 nucleotides in length. Their secondary structure includes four short double-helical elements and three loops (D, anti-codon, and T loops).
Source: Rfam by way of RNAcentral
GGCUCUAUAGUGUAGUGGUUAUCACCUCGGAUUCUGAGCAAGCACUCGCAAUUCCGGUAACGCCAGUUCGAGUCUGGCUAGGGCCU